RNAcentral lists this ribosomal RNA (253 nucleotides) under uncultured bacterium. RNAcentral describes it as "partial 16S ribosomal RNA". It matches the Rfam family "Bacterial small subunit ribosomal RNA", at positions 524 to 776 of the family's 1533-position model. The record is from RNAcentral.
UACGUAGGGCGCAAGCGUUAUCCGGAAUUAUUGGGCGUAAAGAGCUCGUAGGUGGUUUGUCGCGUUGUUCGUGAAAUCCCACGGCUUAACUGUGGGCGUGCGGGCGAUACGGGCAGACUGGAGUACUGCAGGGGAGACUGGAAUUCCUGGUGUAGCGGUGGAAUGCGCAGAUAUCAGGAGGAACACCGGUGGCGAAGGCGGGUCUCUGGGCAGUAACUGACGCUGAGGAGCGAAAGCGUGGGGAGCGAACAGG